AAAGAUAUACAUUAUAAAUGAAUUACAAACUAAAAUGUGAUAAUUAUUUCGAGAUAAAUAAUUUAAUAAGAUGCGAUAAAUAUUUUAGAACAAAAUAAAUAAUUAUUUAAUUUUAAUUUAAUGAUAGAAAAAUAUUUAACGCGUGACUGCGUUAAAUUGAUGAGAGGAGAGAAUAGUCAUCUUUUUUAUAAAUGGACAAAUAUGCACAAUAAUUUUAAGGUUUAAAUUUGAGGAUUUUUUUU
RNAcentral lists this long non-coding RNA (242 nucleotides) under Lathyrus oleraceus (garden pea). Its description in RNAcentral is "Pisum sativum (pea) long non-coding RNA (PSAT_LNC035418)". The record is from RNAcentral. Lineage: Eukaryota; Viridiplantae; Streptophyta; Magnoliopsida; Fabales; Fabaceae.